UCGAACGAGAAAGUGGAGCAAUCCAUGAGUACAGUGGCGACCGGGUGAGUAACACGUAGCUAACCUACCCUCAAGCGGGGGAUAACCUGGGGAAACCUGGGCUAAUACCGCAUAACAUCCCUGGAGCAUCGGCUCCGGGGAGCAAAGGUCCGCAAGGGCCACUGGAGGAGGGGGCUGCGGCCGAUUAGCUAGUUGGUGAGGUAAUGGCCCACCAAGGCAAUGAUCGGUAGCCGGCCUGAGAGGGCGCACGGCCACACUGGCACUGAAACACGGGCCAGACUCCUACGGGAGGCAGCAGUGGGGAAUUUUGCACAAUGUCCGAAAGGGUGAUGCAGCAACGCCGCGUGAGGGAUGAAGGUCUUCGGAUCGUANACCUCUNUCGGACGGGAAAAACGGGCGGGUGANAAAUCCGCUUUGAUGGUACCGGUGGAAGAACCCCGGCCANCUACGUG
RNAcentral lists this ribosomal RNA (452 nucleotides) under uncultured bacterium. RNAcentral's name for it is "bacterial SSU rRNA". It matches the Rfam family "Bacterial small subunit ribosomal RNA", at positions 62 to 507 of the family's 1533-position model. The record is from RNAcentral.